Molecule: ribosomal RNA, 886 nt
Filed under: uncultured bacterium
Lineage: Bacteria
Description: bacterial SSU rRNA
Rfam family: Bacterial small subunit ribosomal RNA
Source: RNAcentral
UGGAUUAGGCAUGCAAGUCGGACGGUAGGGCUUUAUCGUAAGAUAGAGUUUGAGAGUGGCGAACGGGUGAGUAACACGUAGGAAUCUACCCUUAAGACGGGGACAACCCAGGGAAACUUGGGCUAAUACCGGAUGAGAGUGCGAGAGAUUGCAUUUAAAAGGAUGGCGAAAGUUGUCGCUUAGGGAUGAGCCUGCGGUCUAUUAGUUAGUUGGUGAGGUAAGAGCUCACCAAGGCGAUGAUAGAUAGGCGGCCUUAACGGGUGGUCGCCCACACUGGGAUUGAGAUACGGCCCAGACUCCUACGGGAGGCAGCAGUCGAGAAUAGUCUACAAUGGCCGGAAGGCUGAUAGUGCGACGCCGCGUGAACGAGGGAGCCCUUCGGGGUGUAAAGUUCUUUUCUAUACGAGCAGUGCUAUAUAUAUGGAUAGUAUAUAUAGAGGGAUAGUAGUAUAGGAAUAAGCAACGGCUAACUCCGUGCCAGCAGCCGCGGUAACACGGGGGUUGCGAGCGUUGUCCGGAAUUACUAGGCGUAAAGGGCAGGUAGGCGGAUCUACGAGUUUUUUGUUAAAGGCUACGGCUCAACUGUAGUAGAGCAGGAGAUACUGUAGGUCUGGAAUGCGGUAGGGGAAGACAGAAUUCCUGGUGUAGCGGUGGAAUGCGCAGAGAUCAGGAGGAAUACCGAAGGCGAAGGCAGUCUUCUAGGCCGUAAUUGACGCUUAACUGCGAAGGUGUGGGGAUCAAACAGGAUUAGAUACCCUGGUAGUCCACACAGUAAACGAUAAUCACUAGAUGUCGGGUUCUAGAUGGAUUCGGUGUCGGAGCAAACGCGAUAAGUGAUUCGCCUGGGGAGUACGAUCGCAAGGUUGAAACUCAAAGGAAUUGACGG